UUUAAAUUAUGCUUAAAUAAUAAAAUUAAAUUUAUAUUUAUUCAAUGUAGAUGCACUUAGUAUCUGAAGUUAUUUGUCAAUAACUGGUAAUCAGACUUUCAAACGAACACGUUUUUAAGGGCUGAGAAGGUGAAAGUUAGAAGUCUGCAGACUGCAACGUAAAUCAAUUUUCAACACAUGGUUUUCUGAAUAUAUUUAGUUUUCGAUUGAAAUGAGAAUAAACUGAACUUAUAGAUAUGUUGAAAAUUAA
Non-coding RNA from Hydra vulgaris (swiftwater hydra), 250 nucleotides. The record is from RefSeq and is a predicted model, not a curated record. Lineage: Eukaryota; Metazoa; Cnidaria; Hydrozoa; Anthoathecata; Hydridae.